RNAcentral lists this ribosomal RNA (496 nucleotides) under uncultured bacterium. RNAcentral's name for it is "partial 16S ribosomal RNA". It matches the Rfam family "Bacterial small subunit ribosomal RNA", at positions 355 to 840 of the family's 1533-position model. The record is from RNAcentral.
UGGGGAAUAUUGCACAAUGGGCGCAAGCCUGAUGCAGCCAUGCCGCGUGUGUGAAGAAGGCCUUCGGGUUGUAAAGCACUUUCAGCGAGGAGGAAGGUGGUGAGCUUAAUACGCUCAUCAAUUGACGUUACUCGCAGAAGAAGCACCGGCUAACUCCGUGCCAGCAGCCGCGGUAAUACGGAGGGUGCAAGCGUUAAUCGGAAUUACUGGGCGUAAAGCGCACGCAGGCGGUUUGUUAAGUCAGAUGUGAAAAUCCCCGGGCUCAACCUGGGAACUGCAUUUGAAACUGGCAAGCUAGAGUCUCGUAGAGGGGGGUAGAAUUCCAGGUGUAGCGGUGAAAUGCGUAGAGAUCUGGAGGAAUACCGGUGGCGAAGGCGGCCCCCUGGACGAAGACUGACGCUCAGGUGCGAAAGCGUGGGGAGCAAAACAGGAUUAGAUACCCUGGUAGUCCACGCUGUAAACGAUGUCGAUUUUGGAGGUUGUGCCCUUGAGGCGU